CUUCCAAUUAAACAUCCUGAAUUGUUUGAAAGUCUUGGAAUUGCUCAACCCAAGGGUGUUCUUCUGUAUGGACCACCUGGUACUGGAAAGACACUACUAGCUAGGGCUGUAGCGCAUCAUACUGAUUGUACUUUCAUUAGGGUUUCUGGCUCUGAAUUGGUUCAGAAGUACAUUGGUGAAGGCUCUAGAAUGGUCAGAGAACUCUUUGUUAUGGCAAGGGAACAUGCUCCAUCUAUCAUUUUCAUGGAUGAAAUUGACAGUAUCGGUUCUGCUAGAAUGGAAUCUGGGAGUGGAAAUGGUGACAGUGAAGUCCAGCGGACUAUGCUGGAGCUUCUCAAUCAGCUGGAUGGAUUUGAAGCAUCAAACAAGAUCAAGGUUUUGAUGGCAACUAAUCGUAUUGAUAUUCUGGAUCAAGCUCUCCUUAGGCCUGGACGGAUUGACAGGAAAAUAGAAUUUCCAAAUCCUAAUGAAGAGUCACGUCUGGAUAUCUUGAAAAUCCAUUCAAGAAGAAUGAAUUUAAUGCGUGGGAUUGAUUUAAAGAAGAUUGCAGAGAAGAUGAAUGGUGCAUCUGG
This 572-nucleotide unclassified non-coding RNA is filed under the name Hevea brasiliensis (rubber tree). Lineage: Eukaryota; Viridiplantae; Streptophyta; Magnoliopsida; Malpighiales; Euphorbiaceae. The record is from RNAcentral.